GCGAUUUCCUCUUAUCUAGGUCCCCUGCAUAGUCUAAGUCUACAAACCCAUAUAGUUCUAACUCAGUAGACUUAGGAUGUUUGUUGUGCAAUCCUUUGUUUAUCGAUCCACAUAGGUAACGAAAAACCCAAUUGGUAGCUUCCCAAUGAUUCUUCCCUAGGUUUCCAUAUAUCUACUUAUUAGGCUAGAACAAUAUGCUAGAUCAGGUCUUGUGCACAUCAUUAGAUACGUGAGACUCCUUGUGGCAUUAGAGUAUAGUACUCUCUCCAUUCUUUGAGCUUCUUCACUGUCUUUGGGUAAAUCCUUUGUUAAAAGUUUAAAAUGUUGAGCUAAAGAUGUACUCAUUGACUUAGCUUCGAACAUAUUAAACUUCUUCAAGAUUUUCUUAGUGCAGUCACUUUGGCAUACAUAUAAAUCACCCAAUGAUCUAAUCCUUAUGAUCUUCAUCCCAAGAAUUUUGUUUGCAAGCCCAAGGUCUUUCAUCUCGAACUCUUUAGACAUUAAUCUCUUUACUUUGUUCAAUUCUCUAAUAUCCUUCCCUGCCAUUAACAUAUCAUCUACAUAUAGUAGAAGAUAUA
RNAcentral lists this unclassified non-coding RNA (578 nucleotides) under Hevea brasiliensis (rubber tree). Lineage: Eukaryota; Viridiplantae; Streptophyta; Magnoliopsida; Malpighiales; Euphorbiaceae. The record is from RNAcentral.